RNAcentral lists this ribosomal RNA (308 nucleotides) under uncultured soil bacterium. Its description in RNAcentral is "bacterial SSU rRNA". It matches the Rfam family "Bacterial small subunit ribosomal RNA", at positions 26 to 329 of the family's 1533-position model. The record is from RNAcentral.
AGGAUGAACGCUGGCGGCGUGCUUAACACAUGCAAGUCGAACGAUGAAGGCUGGAGCUUGCUCUGGCUGGAUUAGUGGCGAACGGGUGAGUAACACGUGAGUAACCUGCCCCAGACUCUGGGAUAAGCGCUGGAAACGGCGUCUAAUACCGGAUACGAGCUUCCACCGCAUGGUGAGGAGCUGGAAAGAAUUUCGGUCUGGGAUGGACUCGCGGCCUAUCAGCUUGUUGGUGAGGUAAUGGCUCACCAAGGCACGGACGGGUAGCCGGCCUGAGAGGGUGACCGGCCACGACUGGGACUGAGACACGG